Aspergillus nanangensis is the source of this 73-nucleotide non-coding RNA. The record is from the annotation of a GenBank genome assembly. NCBI's taxonomy places the organism in Eukaryota, Fungi, Ascomycota, Eurotiomycetes, Eurotiales, Aspergillaceae.
GCCUUUGUGGCCAAGCGGUAAGGCGCCCCACUCGUAAUGGGGAGAUUCGUCGGUUCGAUCCCGACCGAAGGCA